RNAcentral lists this ribosomal RNA (468 nucleotides) under uncultured bacterium. RNAcentral's name for it is "partial 16S ribosomal RNA". It matches the Rfam family "Bacterial small subunit ribosomal RNA", at positions 28 to 507 of the family's 1533-position model. The record is from RNAcentral.
GACGAACGCUGGCGGCGUGCUUAACACAUGCCAGUCGAACGGAAAGGCCCUGCUUUUGUGGGUUGCUCGAGUGGCGAACGGGUGAGUAACACGUGAGUAACCUGCCCUUGACUUUGGGAUAACUUCAGGAAACUGGGGCUAAUACAGGGUAGGAGCUCCUGAUGCACGGUGGUGGUUGGAAAGUUUCGGCGGUUGGGGAUGGAAUCGCGGCUUAUCAGCUUGUUGGGGGGGUAGUGGCUUACAAGGGCUUUGACGGGUAGCCGGCCUGAGAGGGUGACCGGCCACAUUGGGACUGAGAUACGGCCCAGACUCCUACGGGAGGCAGCAGGGGGGAAUAUUGCACAAUGGGCGGAAGCCUGAUGCAGCAACGCCGCGUGCGGGAUGACGGCCUUCGGGUUGUAAACCGCUUUCGCCUGUGACGAAGCGUGAGUGACGGUAAUGGGUAAAGAAGCACCGGCUAACUACGUG